ACUAAGCGUACACGGUGGAUGCCCUGGCAGUCAGAGGCGAUGAAGGACGUGCUAAUCUGCGAUAAGCGUCGGUAAGGUGAUAUGAACCGUUAUAACCGGCGAUUUCCGAAUGGGGAAACCCAGUGUGAUUCGUCACACUAUCAUUAACUGAAUCCAUAGGUUAAUGAGGCGAACCGGGGGAACUGAAACAUCUAAGUACCCCGAGGAAAAGAAAUCAACCGAGAUUCCCCCAGUAGCGGCGAGCGAACGGGGAGCAGCCCAGAGCCUGAAUCAGUGUGUGUGUUAGUGGAAGCGUCUGGAAAGGCGCGCGAUACAGGGUGACAGCCCCGUACACAAAAAUGCACAUACUGUGAGCUCGAUGAGUAGGGCGGGACACGUGGUAUCCUGUCUGAAUAUGGGGGGACCAUCCUCCAAGGCUAAAUACUCCUGACUGACCGAUAGUGAACCAGUACCGUGAGGGAAAGGCGAAAAGAACCCCGGCGAGGGGAGUGAAAAAGAACCUGAAACCGUGUACGUACAAGCAGUGGGAGCACGCUUAGGCGUGUGACUGCGUACCUUUUGUAUAAUGGGUCAGCGACUUAUAUUCUGUAGCAAGGUUAACCGAAUAGGGGAGCCGAAGGGAAACCGAGUCUUAACUGGGCGUUAAGUUGCAGGGUAUAGACCCGAAACCCGGUGAUCUAGCCAUGGGCAGGUUGAAGGUUGGGUAACACUAACUGGAGGACCGAACCGACUAAUGUUGAAAAAUUAGCGGAUGACUUGUGGCUGGGGGUGAAAGGCCAAUCAAACCGGGAGAUAGCUGGUUCUCCCCGAAAGCUAUUUAGGUAGCGCCUCGUGAAUUCAUCUCCGGGGGUAGAGCACUGUUUCGGCAAGGGGGUCAUCCCGACUUACCAACCCGAUGCAAACUGCGAAUACCGGAGAAUGUUAUCACGGGAGACACACGGCGGGUGCUAACGUCCGUCGUGAAGAGGGAAACAACCCAGACCGCCAGCUAAGGUCCCAAAGUCAUGGUUAAGUGGGAAACGAUGUGGGAAGGCCCAGACAGCCAGGAUGUUGGCUUAGAAGCAGCCAUCAUUUAAAGAAAGCGUAAUAGCUCACUGGUCGAGUCGGCCUGCGCGGAAGAUGUAACGGGGCUAAACCAUGCACCGAAGCUGCGGCAGCGACGCUGAUGCGUUGUUGGGUAGGGGAGCGUUCUGUAAGCCUGUGAAGGUGUGCUGUGAGGCAUGCUGGAGGUAUCAGAAGUGCGAAUGCUGACAUAAGUAACGAUAAAGCGGGUGAAAAGCCCGCUCGCCGGAAGACCAAGGGUUCCUGUCCAACGUUAAUCGGGGCAGGGUGAGUCGACCCCUAAGGCGAGGCCGAAAGGCGUAGUCGAUGGGAAACAGGUUAAUAUUCCUGUACUUGGUGUUACUGCGAAGGGGGGACGGAGAAGGCUAUGUUGGCCGGGCGACGGUUGUCCCGGUUUAAGCGUGUAGGCUGGUUUUCCAGGCAAAUCCGGAAAAUCAAGGCUGAGGCGUGAUGACGAGGCACUACGGUGCUGAAGCAACAAAUGCCCUGCUUCCAGGAAAAGCCUCUAAGCAUCAGGUAACAUCAAAUCGUACCCCAAACCGACACAGGUGGUCAGGUAGAGAAUACCAAGGCGCUUGAGAGAACUCGGGUGAAGGAACUAGGCAAAAUGGUGCCGUAACUUCGGGAGAAGGCACGCUGAUAUGUAGGUGAAGUCCCUCGCGGAUGGAGCUGAAAUCAGUCGAAGAUACCAGCUGGCUGCAACUGUUUAUUAAAAACACAGCACUGUGCAAACACGAAAGUGGACGUAUACGGUGUGACGCCUGCCCGGUGCCGGAAGGUUAAUUGAUGGGGUCAGCGCAAGCGAAGCUCUUGAUCGAAGCCCCGGUAAACGGCGGCCGUAACUAUAACGGUCCUAAGGUAGCGAAAUUCCUUGUCGGGUAAGUUCCGACCUGCACGAAUGGCGUAAUGAUGGCCAGGCUGUCUCCACCCGAGACUCAGUGAAAUUGAACUCGCUGUGAAGAUGCAGUGUACCCGCGGCAAGACGGAAAGACCCCGUGAACCUUUACUAUAGCUUGACACUGAACAUUGAGCCUUGAUGUGUAGGAUAGGUGGGAGGCUUUGAAGUGUGGACGCCAGUCUGCAUGGAGCCGGCCUUGAAAUACCACCCUUUAAUGUUUGAUGUUCUAACGUUGACCCGUGAUCCGGGUUGCGGACAGUGUCUGGUGGGUAGUUUGACUGGGGCGGUCUCCUCCUAAAGAGUAACGGAGGAGCACGAAGGUUGGCUAAUCCUGGUCGGACAUCAGGAGGUUAGUGCAAUGGCAUAAGCCAGCUUGACUGCGAGCGUGACGGCGCGAGCAGGUGCGAAAGCAGGUCAUAGUGAUCCGGUGGUUCUGAAUGGAAGGGCCAUCGCUCAACGGAUAAAAGGUACUCCGGGGAUAACAGGCUGAUACCGCCCAAGAGUUCAUAUCGACGGCGGUGUUUGGCACCUCGAUGUCGGCUCAUCACAUCCUGGGGCUGAAGUAGGUCCCAAGGGUAUGGCUGUUCGCCAUUUAAAGUGGUACGCGAGCUGGGUUUAGAACGUCGUGAGACAGUUCGGUCCCUAUCUGCCGUGGGCGCUGGAGAACUGAGGGGGGCUGCUCCUAGUACGAGAGGACCGGAGUGGACGCAUCACUGGUGUUCGGGUUGUCAUGCCAAUGGCACUGCCCGGUAGCUAAAUGCGGAAGAGAUAAGUGCUGAAAGCAUCUAAGCACGAAACUUGCCCCGAGAUGAGUUCUCCCUGACUCCUUGAGAGUCCUGAAGGAACGUUGAAGACGACGACGUUGAUAGGCCGGGUGUGUAAGCGCAGCGAUGCGUUGAGCUAACCGGUACUAAUGAACCGUGAGGCUUAACC
Molecule: ribosomal RNA, 2893 nt
Filed under: Escherichia coli
Lineage: Bacteria; Pseudomonadati; Pseudomonadota; Gammaproteobacteria; Enterobacterales; Enterobacteriaceae
Description: bacterial LSU rRNA
Rfam family: Bacterial large subunit ribosomal RNA
Source: RNAcentral